RNAcentral lists this long non-coding RNA (2303 nucleotides) under Heterocephalus glaber (naked mole-rat). RNAcentral's name for it is "lncRNA (ENSHGLG00100044265.1)". The record is from RNAcentral. Lineage: Eukaryota; Metazoa; Chordata; Mammalia; Rodentia; Bathyergidae.
CUCAGACUUGCCAUCUUCCUGCCUCUGCCUCCAAAAUAGCUGGAAUUAUAGGUGUCUACCUAGCUGGACAAGUUUUUAAGUUUAUAGGUGCCUUAGUCUUCUCUGUACAUUGGGGACACUAAUAGUCACCUCACAGGUUGCUGUAAGGAAUGAAGGAGGUGAUUCUUGUAAAACACUCAGCAAAGCUCCUCAGAGUUAGUGUUCAAUAAAUGGCUGUUGUCACUUAUACUUCCAGGCACCCUAGUCAUGGCCAUAACAUCCUAAUGUUUGUGACUAUACCUUCACGUGGCCUCAGUGGUGGUUUGCUUCUGUCUGUUCAACCUCUCUGCAGCUUAGCGACAGAGUGAUGACCUAGGCAUUAUAUAGCAGGCACUGAGUCACACCAAGAUGGCCAGAACACCCUCUUCCUCCCGAAGGAGCUUUGAGCCCAGCAGGGAUGACAGGACAGGAAGCCCAAGAUCCGAAACACAUGGGGAAGUAGAAGGAUGAGUAAGGCCUGGUGGUACAGAGGAGGAAGUGGAGUGCUUCAUCUGUAUACAUAGAAGAAGUGAAACAAGAGUCAACAUUAUGGGAUGAAUUUUUGUCACUGGACAUGGGAAAUAGGACUUUCCAUGCGAAGGGAAUUGAGGUGAGGGUGACUGAGUUGGCGUGGAGUUGAGGUGCUUCCUAGAAAAGCAUAGGACUGUUGUUGGGUUCGAGUUCGUACACAGCCCUCAGUGCCCUGCUAAGGCACCAGACCAGAGGUGAUGGGCAGCCUCUUUUCUCCUUCUUCCUAAUGAGAGUCUUGCUAUACAGUUCAGGCUGGCCUGGAACUCUCAGCGAUCCUCCUGCCUCAGCCUCCCAAGUGCUGGGAUCACAGGUGUGCACCCCCACCCCCGGCACAGUGGGCUGUUUCUGAAGGACUUGAAGCACAGUAGUCUUGUGAUCAGACUUGCAUGUUAGAGAGCUCUUUCUGGCAGCUGUUAGGGGAAUGAUUGGAGUGGCAGGGAGACCCAAGGCAAAGAUUGGCUAAAAUGAUAACCUUAGCCAGGGAGGAGGGGCCAUUGAGAUGAGCAGUGACCGUGGGCACAAUCUUUGUGUGUGCCCUUGUAUAUUUUCUCACUUCAGUCUGUGUCUUGUCUCCCCAGUUACGUCUGUAAGCUCCUUAAAAGAUCUCUCAAAUUCCUUUUUAAAGGUUCCUUCACCAGUGGAAUGAACCCCCACCAGGUGUUGACUCAGUAAAGGUCUGUACAGAACCAGCCUUUCUCUCCUGUAAGCCUCCUCUUGACCAGCCAUGUGCCCAGGCCGGACAGGGAGAGGUGUUUCCUCUGUGUGCGCAGAACUGUCUUGGGAGGUUGGGAAACGGAAACAGAAACAUGCCUGGACCUUUUCGAGACAAUGCCAGGGUAGAAAGGCUCAUCUCCUAACUUCUGAAUAAAAGUGUUGGCCUACUUCCUAUCACUUUGGGAGAAUCUCAGGCUGCUGGGUGCUGACAUGACCACGAUUCAUAUUAAAAUCUUUUCAUUUAUAGCUGCCUUAAAAAUAGAGUUAGAAACUGGACUUGGUGGCACAAACCUGUAAUCCCAGCACUCAGGAGGCUAAGGCAGGAGAAUGGCCCUGAGUUCAAGGCCAGCCUGAACUGUCUAGCAAGACCCUGUCUCAAAAGAACAAACAAAAAUAGAGUCAGCAUAGUCACUAAUGGACCCUGCUUCCUUUCUCUUGCUGGAUGCGGCCUGGCACACCUCAUACCUUCUGGGCCCUUGUGAAUGUGCUGCUUCUUUCACCCUCAGCCCCAUCCGGAGCCCACCUAGGGGGCGGGAGUUACUGGACAGAUCCCAGCAGGCUCAGCCACAGCUCCCCGCCUCUGCAGCUGGGGUUAUAAAUAACUACCAAAGCUAAACAGUCAAAUAACCACAUUUUGAAAACUGCUAAGAAAAAAAAAUCACUCUAGCCCAUCUCAAUAGCAAUUCUCCCACCCCUCUCCUUCAUCCACUCCCUUCCCUCCACUUAUCUGCUCCCUUCCCUGAUCCACACCCCUGGGGAACUCUGAGCACAAAGCUGUCUCAUGAUGAAGACAUCCUUUUCUAUAUUUGACAGGGCCAAAGCCCUCCAGGGCUGUAGUUCUAGUUGCAUGAUGUUGUUAUGGCAGCAGAGGCCUCGGGGCAACAUAUGUUCCUCACUGUAAUUGGGUUUUCUCUAACAGACCGGCUCUCCCUGGGUUCUCUGUACCCAAACUCACUUAACCGAGAAGGCCAAGGGAAUUGCCUUUACAGAUGGGUCUUCAUCCCACCCCCCCCCCCCCCCCCCCCCCCGCAAAACCGAUU